UACGGAGGGUGCGAGCGUUAAUCGGAAUUACUGGGCGUAAAGCGCGCGUAGGCGGUUUGUUAAGUCAGCUGUGAAAGCCCCGGGCUCAACCUGGGAACUGCAGUUGAUACUGACCGACUAGAGUACGAGAGAGGGAGGUAGAAUUCCAUGUGUAGCGGUGAAAUGCGUAGAUAUAUGGAGGAAUACCAGUGGCGAAGGCGGCCUCCUGGCUCGAUACUGACGCUGAGGUGCGAAAGCGUGGGGAGCAAACAGG
This 253-nucleotide ribosomal RNA is filed under the name uncultured bacterium. Its description in RNAcentral is "partial 16S ribosomal RNA". It matches the Rfam family "Bacterial small subunit ribosomal RNA", at positions 524 to 776 of the family's 1533-position model. The record is from RNAcentral.